This 440-nucleotide ribosomal RNA is filed under the name uncultured bacterium. Its description in RNAcentral is "partial 16S ribosomal RNA". It matches the Rfam family "Bacterial small subunit ribosomal RNA", at positions 338 to 795 of the family's 1533-position model. The record is from RNAcentral.
CCUACGGGUGGCAGCAGUGGGGAAUAUUGCACAAUGGGGGAAACCCUGAUGCAGCGACGCCGCGUGAGCGAUGAAGUCUUUCGGUAUGUAAAGCUCUAUCAGCAGGGAAGAAAAUGACGGUACCUGACUAAGAAGCCCCAGCUAACUACGUGCCAGCAGCCGCGGUAAUACGUAGGGGGCAAGCGUUAUCCGGAUGUACUGGGUGCAAAGGGAGCGUAGACGGCGGUGCAAGCCAGAUGUGAAAGCCCGGGGCUCAACCCCGGGACUGCAUUUGAAACUGGACUGCUAGAGUGUCGGAGAGGCAGGCGGAAUUCCUAGUGUAGCGGUGAAAUGCGUAGAUAUUAGGAGGAACACCAGUGGCGAAGGCGGGCGGCUGGAGGAUGACUGACGUUGAGGCUCGAAAGCGUGGGGAGCAAACAGGAUUAGAUACCCUAGUAGUC